RNAcentral lists this unclassified non-coding RNA (1295 nucleotides) under Hevea brasiliensis (rubber tree). The record is from RNAcentral. Lineage: Eukaryota; Viridiplantae; Streptophyta; Magnoliopsida; Malpighiales; Euphorbiaceae.
CGACAAGCAGCACCGACGAACUACCAUGCAAGCCUCACACUACCUCCAUCAAUUUCCAUGGACCUUACAUUCUCGUCACUGUCUUACACCACCACCAUCGUCUACCGUCAGAAUCCGUCGUCUACCAUCCAUCACUGCCGUGGCUGCUCCACCAACACUAUUAAAGCACCAGAAGACCCACUCUAUGCCACCAGAGAAAGUAGAGAUAUUCAGUUCGCUAGAGAAUUGGGCCACACAAAAUGUGCUGCCGUUUCUUAAACCAGUAGAUCUGUGCUGGCAGCCGCAGAACUUCCUUCCUGACCCCGCAAUACCAUUCGACGAUUUUACCGAUCAGGUCCGGGCGCUACGUAAUCGGACGUCCGAGAUGCCUGAUGAGUACUUCAUAGUGCUGGUGGGUGAUAUGAUCACUGAGGAAGCACUGCCUACGUAUCAGACCAUGAUUAACACGCUGGACGGCGUUAGGGACGAGACCGGAGCCAGCCAGAACCCAUGGGCCAUGUGGACCCGGGCCUGGACCGCUGAGGAGAACCGGCAUGGUGAUCUGCUUAAGAAUUACUUGUAUUUGUCGGGUCGGGUUGAUAUGCUCAUGAUUGAGAAGACGGUGCAGUAUUUGAUUGGAGCUGGCAUGGUGAUUUUUCUUUUUUAAAUAAAUAUUUUUAUAAUUGAGAUUAUAAUUAGGGAUUCAUAGGUAAUUAAGAAGUGUGGUUAACGUGCAGGACCCUGGAACAGAAAACAACCCCUACUUGGGCUUCGUGUACACGUCCUUUCAAGAGCGAGCCACAUUCGUAUCGCACGGCAAUACGGCGCGUUUAGCUAAGGAAGGCGGUGAUCCAGUACUGGCGCGCAUAUGCGGGACCAUCGCAGCAGACGAGAAGCGCCACGAGAACGCCUACACCAGGAUCGUAGGAAAGCUCCUUGAGGUGGACCCCAAUGUUGCAAUGCUAGCGAUAGCCGAUAUGAUGCGAAAGAAAAUCACGAUGCCGGCCCACUUGAUGUAUGAUGGGCAGGAUCCACAUCUCUUCGAACACUUCUCGGCGGUGGCCCAGCGGAUGGGAGUAUAUACCGCUGAUGAUUACGCAGAUAUUUUGGAGUUCUUGAUCGGACGGUGGGCAUUGGAGAAGUUGGAAGGGUUGACGGGGGAGGGGAGACGUGCACAAGACUUCGUGUGCGGUUUAGCACCUAGGAUUAGAAAGCUGCAGGAGAGAGCCGAUGAGAAGGCGAAGAAGAUGAGGCCACAAGGCGUGAAAUUUAGCUGGAUUUUCAAUAGGGAGGUACCCUUGUGAAAUCUGUGGGAC